CAGCCGUAAACUAUGCGCGUUAGGUGUACUGGUGACCACGAGUCACCGGGGUGCCGAAGGGAAACCGUGAAACGUGCCGCCUGGGAAGUACGGUCGCAAGGCUGAAACUUAGAGGAAUUGGCGGGGGAGCACCACAACGGGUGGAGCCUGCGGUUUAAUUGGACUCAACGCCGGAAAUCUCACCGGAUAGGACAGACAUAUGAUAGUCGGGCUGAAGACUCUACUUGAUGAUCUGAGAGGUGGUGCAUGGCGUCAGUGACU
Molecule: ribosomal RNA, 261 nt
Filed under: uncultured archaeon
Lineage: Archaea
Description: partial 16S ribosomal RNA
Rfam family: Archaeal small subunit ribosomal RNA
Source: RNAcentral